RNAcentral lists this ribosomal RNA (274 nucleotides) under uncultured bacterium. RNAcentral describes it as "partial 16S ribosomal RNA". It matches the Rfam family "Bacterial small subunit ribosomal RNA", at positions 523 to 796 of the family's 1533-position model. The record is from RNAcentral.
AUACGGAGGGGGCUAGCGUUGUUCGGAAUUACUGGGCGUAAAGGGCGUGUAGGCGGGACAUCAAGUUAGGCGUGAAAGCCCCGGGCUCAACCCGGGAACUGCGUUUAAGACUGGUGACCUAGAGUCCGGGAGAGGGUGGUGGAAUUCCCAGUGUAGAGGUGAAAUUCGUAGAUAUUGGGAAGAACACCAGCGGCGAAGGCGGCUCACUGGACCGGUACUGACGCUGAGGUGCGAAAGCGUGGGGAGCAAACAGGAUUAGAAACCCCAGUAGUCC